UAUAAGGGAUAGUCCCCCAACGAGGACGGGGACAGGGAUUUCCCGAAACCUAUUAACGAGGAUGGGUUCGAGGAUGGGGGCGGGGAUGGAGAGUGGGAACGGAGAUGGUAUUGUCAUACCUGGCCCCUACCUAACCCGUUGCCAUCCCUAGUCUAAACUGCAGGGCAUGAGGAUUUCUUAUACACACAAUUAUGAUGUUGUGGGUAUGGGAGAUAGUCCCCCAACGGGGACGAGGAUUUCCCGAAACCUAUUAACGAGGAUGGGUUCGGGGAUGGGGGUGGGGAUAGAGAGCGGGAACGAAGAUGGUAUUGUCAUACUUGGCCCCUACCCAACCCGUUGCCAUCCUUAGUCUAAACUGCAGGGCAUGAGGAUUUCUUAUACACACAAUUAUGAUGCCGUGGAGAUUUGAACCUAAGACCUCUGGUCUGCAAGUCAAGGCCCUUUUCCACUGUACUAGAACCCAUUGGCAGAAUGCAACCUAAUAGUUUCAUUGAUGUAGGACGAAAUAUGAGUCAGUUAUGGUGUGAAAAUUUAAUUAAAAUAAAGUGGCUCAAGGUUGGAAGGAAAUCAUGCAAGAGAGGAAAUUUCCAAUUAAAUGUCAAUUAUUGUGCUAGGAAAAGAAGAAAGGCGUUGGGAUUUUCUAAUUGAUUGAGGAAGUUUGAAGCAAUUAUGAUUCUGUCAAGAUUUGUAUUUAAUUUAAUGUUUAAUUUUAUAUUUUGAAGAAUAAAUUAUCUAUUAGGAUAUUAUUUUCCUAAUAUGAUUUUUAUUAUUUUCCAGUUAGCUAAGUUUAGGAAUAUUCUAGAACCUAGAGUUUCCUAUGGUUUUAAGGUUUCUUUGUUUUCUAUUUAAACUAACUCAUGGCGUUGUAUUUGAAGUUUGUUCAUCUUAUUUUCAAUCAAUAUAUUUGAGGUUUACUCAAUUUUUAUGGUGGAUUAAUUCCAGUUUGUUGGUGGAUUCCGACAUUAUUACUUGUAAGGUUAUCAUUCGAUCUCCUUAUCCCUUAUAUCUCGUUGCGUUAGUUGGUAUCAGAGCAGGUUUUUCCUGACUCGAGAUGCCUCCAAUGGCUCGUCCAAAUGAAGAAGAUAUCACCCAUGGAGACGGGAAACCAAUCACUCUUAGAUAACUGCAAGGCAUGAGGAUUUCUCACACACAUACAACUAUGAUGCUAUGAGAAUUUGAACUUGAGACCUCUAAUCCGCAAGUCAAGGUCCUUUUCUACUGGGCUAGACCCCGUUGGCAGAACGCAACCUAAUAGUUUCAUGAAUCUCAAAGAUAAUUUGUGAUAAAAAGCCUAAUUUUUAUAGUGGAUGAGGAAAACAUGUAGGAGACCAAAUGCGUAACAAAUUUUGAAACGUGACGUGACACCGUCACAUAAUGUUAUAUGUGUUAUAGUAUUAAUGGAUAACACAUGAUGAAUAUAUCAUGAACUUAGAUUAUACACGUGUUCUCACAUAAUUUUCGCACUUACAUAUACGUAUAUAUGCAUUAUUAUCCUUUUUUCUUUUCCUUUUUUUUAUAACAAAAAGGCUAUUAGCUCUACGCAUUAAUUAAGGAUAUUUGGGAGAAGAAUGCCAAUUUGCCAAACCAAAUGCAUGAGAUAUGCAUGAUCCCUCCAUCACAUGUUGAACUCUCCACGUUUAUUCCUCUCUCUCUCUCUCUCUCUCUCUCUCUCUCUCUCUCUCUCUCUCUCACAUUUAGAGGUUGAGUAUCUUGUGAAAUCUUUCCUUACGUGCAUGGGACUUUCUCCAAUAUAUCUUCUGUAAACCUGUAAACUGCAGUACCACAUGUCAUUAGCUAAAGGCUCCACGUGUGUCCUAGCGCAGCAUUUUGUGUCCAACUAUGAGACGCCAUGUCUUUUUAAUCACACAAGCCUUUUUCAAAUGCAUUGAUUUGACAAACUCAAAAAUUGUUAGCGGUGUUCUAACUUCUACCCCUCAAAUUUCAAAUAACAGGUUUCAGGUUUGCCUGCCUGCCGGUGAAGUAUCGACGCCCCCUAAUUAUGUCAUUCCCAUAUUUCACGACCUAAUGUAGUUAUGUGAGCUCAAUGCUACUUUCCCUCUGCAUGUUUGUUUAAAUGUCGGUUAAGCCCUUAUGUUAGGGGAGAAAAAUACAUAGAAUGGAAAAUUAAAAACAAUUUAAAGUUUUAAUUCUUUGUUUUCCUACUCAUUUCUUCUUCAGGUGAUCAUUUUUCAUCGCUAUCUUAUUUCUCUCAUCUUAUAUUGGAAAAUAGGAGAAUCGAACCUAAGACUUUAAAUGUUCUUAACCACUGAAGUACAAAACCCGUGCCAUCUUUUUUCCUCUUUAAAUCUUUAACUUAAAGAAAAUAACUACAAAGAAGAAAACAAAAACUCUACAGAAUCGAAUAAGUCUUGCAUCUUUGAACCUUUGUUUAUGUCAUUGAAGUUUAUGUCUAUUAUACAUGCUUCUCGUUUUUGAGACACCGACCAAAGUUUUAUGUGCUCCAAAUCAAAGGAACAAUGAUGCAAAGUGUAUCGAGGGAGGCAAAGUAUUGAUAUUUAGAACAUGAAACCAAAUUUAUUGUAUCUUACAAAUGGUGGCUCUCAUGCAUGGCAGUUUCUUGGGGACUAUGGUUUCUCAUUAAUUAAUUAGGUAGAAAUACAUCUACAUACCAGAAAGUUCUACAAAUUAUGUCACAUUUGCCAAAUUGAUGAAAGUAGAUAUACUCUAACAGAUAAUGCUUCGAUUAAAAUAGAAUUUUUAUUUUCGAUCAUGGAAAUAUUUAAGAAAAGAAGAACAUCUACGAAAGAAAGAGAAGCAUUGAUUGAUUGAUUGAUGAAAAUGUGACAAUGAUAGAUUUCUAAAAACACGAUUAAUUAGGGAUUUGGUAGCAGUUGCAUGACAAAGAUAAAUAUAUAUAGCUUACUAGACAUCAAUGAUUGAGUUUCAAAAUGGGUGAUAGGCCAUGCAAACUUCCAGAGGUGCCUCUAUAAGAGCAACUCCACCCAUAAGGGCUAAGUCUAAGGCAAGGGCAAGCAAGGGCUGCCACUAUUCACAUGAAUAGUGGCAGCCUUGCCAUUUGUGGUUCCACCCAUGAAGGUUAAGUCUAGGGCAAGUCUAAGGCAAAUACUAUUCAUUGUACUUUAUUUCCUAUUUUUUUUAUACUUUAAACCAUUAAUUUUAAUAAUCUUUUGUAAUUAAAUUUUCGGAUAAUAUUUUUGGUUGUCACGUGUCCAUUAUUUUUCAGAAAAGAUUUUCGGAUGAGAAUCUCGAUUGCCACGUGUCUUAUUUCAAAUAAAAUUUUCGGAUAUUCAUUAAAAAAAGUUAUAAUCUCAGAUUUCAGAUAACAUUUUCAUCCUCUAAAAUUGUGCCACGUGUCCCAUGUCAGAUAAGAUUUUCAGAUAUUUAAAAAAAAAAUUAUAAUCUCAUAUUUCAGAUAAGAUUUUCACCCUCUAAAAUUGUGCCACGUGUCAUUUCUGUCAGAUAAGAUUUUCAGAUAUUUUUUUAAAAUUAUAAUAUCAGAUUUCAGAUAAGAUUUUCAUCCUCUAAAAUUGUGCCACGUGUCAUCUCUAUCUUCUGAAUCCCUCUAUAAAACUACAUCAUCAACUCAUACCUCUCACACCAUCUCUUAUCUAUUCCUUCAUUUCUCAGAUUUUACAAAACACAUUCUACUCUCAAUGUUAAAUUUGAGGAGGGUGUUAGAGAGGCAACAGAAAGAAAGGGAAGAAAUCCGGCGUAGACGUGCUGAAGAAGAUCGGGACGCCGAUGAAGAAGAGGAACAAAUGCUUGCAGCAGCGGUGUGUAUGCUUAAUCAAUCAAGGCAACAUCGUCCUCCUCGUGCCCCAAAUGUGGACAGACGUAGAGAGUCUCAGGGUAAGAAUUUCUUGGAGGAUUACUUUAUCCCAAAUUCGUUAUAUCCUACUCAUAAGUUUCGAGAGAGAUAUAGAAUGGAGCCACAUUUGUUUCAAAAAAUCAUGCAUGAUAUUUGUAAUUACGACACAUACUUCAUUCAAAAGCAUGAUGCUGUUGGAGUUUUGGGUCUUAUCCCGGAGCAAAAACUUACAGCUGCUUUGCGGAUACUUGCUUAUGGGGCAUCUGCAGAGCAGGUGGAUGAGAUUGCAAGGAUGGAAAAAUCAACUAUCCUAGAGUGCUUGGUGAGAUUCUGUGAUACAGUGGAAAAUUUGUACACGAGGGAGUACCUUCGCAAACCCACGUCGAGGGACCUGCAAAGGCUGCUACAAAAAGCAGAGGCUCGAGGUUUCCCAAGCAUGAUUGGAAGCAUUGAUUGCAUGCACUGGCAGUGGAAGAAUUGUCCUACUGCUUGGCAAGGAGAGUACGGGAAUCGAAAGGGCCAAAAAAGUAUAAUUUUGGAGGUCGUAGCUUCAUUCGACUGUUGGGUUUGGCAUGCCUUCUUCGGGGUUGCCGGAUCUCAGAAUGACCUCAAUGUCCUUGGUCAAUCCCCGGUGUUCGAUGAGGUAUUGCGAGGUCAUUCCCCCCAGGUCACGUACCAAAUCAACAAUACCGUAUACUCUGGUGCGUACUACCUUGGCGACGAAAUUUAUCCUAGGUGGACAACAUUCGUGAAAACAAUUCCGAAUCCCCAAUUCGAGAAGGAAAGAAGCUUUGCUUCCUUUCAAGAAGGUUACAGGAAAGACGUGGAAAGGUGUUUCGGUAUCUUGCAAGCUCGUUGGGCAAUUAUCAGAGGUGCUGCUCGGAUGCUAGACGAGGAGUUGCUGCGGAGUAUUAUCAUGACUUGCAUCAUCCUCCACAACAUGAUUGUGGAGGAUGAGUAUGACUACGAUGCUCCAGAGGUGUUUGAACUCGAUCCCAUGAACACGGCGUUGACAAGAAUAUAUGAAAGGCCGAUGGGACCAAAUGGACUACCAAUGGAGCCCGAACCGUUAGUUCGGAAUGGUCGAUUCAACAACCCCAUGAUUGAUCGUUAUGAAGAAAUGCAAUCUUCAUAUGUUCAUGAGAGACGUCAAGUUGACUUGAUCGAGCACUUGUGGGAGAUGAAAGGCAAUCACAAUGGAUGAAGUCAAGAUUAGUGCUUUGUUUGGAAUUAUGCUUUGUUUUUAAUUAUGCUUUAUUUUGUGUGUGGUGUUUUUUGGAAUUAUGCUUUUAUUUAUUAUUAUUAUGCUUUUAUGUAUGGGUUGUUUUGUGUGUUGUUUGCAAUAAAUUAUGGUUUGGUUUUAAUUAAUCUUUGUUUUGAUGCUCAAAUAUUUUUAAUAAAUAGUCAUAUUAUUUAAUGCUUUUUUUAUUUAAUAAAAAGGAAACAAUACAACAAAUUAAAGGAUAAUACAACAAUACAACAAUACAACAUAUGGCAAAGGUGUUUCAAUACAACCUAAUGGUUUUCAUCCUUUAACCAAUCCGUAUUGCUAGGUCUGUCAUCAUGGAAAAGUUUUCUUCUCAUUACAUCCCUUCAUCUAUGCUUCCAAUAGGCCUUUGUUUCAGGAGACAUAUGGCUCGUAUCCAUGGCCAUAAUUUUCAUCUCUCUAUCAUCCAUGUCCUUUUCUUGUGCAUGAUGUUGUUGAAUUGCAAAUGUUUCCUCUCGUGCCUUGUCUACUUCAUCUCUUUUCAAGUCUCUCUCAAUUCUUAGUGAGGUGUUCUUAGCUAUUUGCUCCAAUAAUUGUACACAUUCAUUGCUCGAAGUGCCCCCUCUCUUAGCCUUUGCCCCCUUUCUCCCAAUAGGUCUCGGCGGACGUGGGAGUGGUGACUCCGUCUCCAUUGGGGAGUCCAAUGGCGAAUCGGUUGAUGGUGAAUCGUGGAGCGGCGUCUCAUUCAACACAACCGGCGGACCGGUGGGAAUAAUUUUGAAUCUCGAACAAUCCUUCACGACUUCCCAACAUUGGAAAUGCACGAAACUUUUUUUGCCUUGCCCCAUGGCACUGAACCACAUUUGUGCUUGUAUGAUCUAUUAAAAAUAAAUAAUUGGAAGUGCAAGAAAAAAAAAUUAUUAUGCAAGAAAAUAUAAACUAUUUUGAAAUGCAAGAAUAAAAUUGAUUAUGUAAGAAAAUAUAGACAAAUUGAAAAUGCAAAAAGAAAAAAAAAGAUUAUGCAAAGAAAAAGAAAUAGAAUAUGCACACAAAAAAAGUUACAUUAAAUUGAUGAAAAUGGCAAUUAUAAAUAUUUUAUCUCAUCGGAUAGAUUUUGACCGCUUCGAAUGUUCUCCCUUGCUUUUGUCAAGGCAUUUCUCCAUUUUCCUAACUCUUUAUUCAAAAGUUUCCAUCUACUAGACAACGCCAUUUUGGUCCGAAUGGAACCCGAUCUUUGACAAAAUUCUCCAUGAAUUUUGCUCCACAUAUGAUGGAACUUCAUCUCAUUGCCCGUGAUAGGGUCAUGACUAACGUUCACCCAAGACUGACACAACGCAAUAUCUUCCUGAGUUGACCACGAGCCUCCGGUUUCGACAGAAGAUGCCAUUUGUUUUUUUUUUUUUUUAUACAAAUGGAAAGUAGUAGAAAAAUGUGAGUGGAGAGUAAAAAAUAUUGGAAGGAGAAGAGUUUGUAUGGAGAAUUGGUGUGGGAAGUGAAUAAUGUGAGUGGAGAGUAAAAAAUAUUGGACGGAGAAGAAAUUGUAUGAAGAUUUAGUGUGGAAAGUAAAUAAAAUUGUUAGGUAUUUAUAGGGAAAAAAUACAUAAUUUUUUGGUAUUUUAAAAAAAAAAAUUUAGAAUUUUUUCGAUUUUUUUUGGAAUUUUUUUAGUCAAAAAAACGAGGACCGUCGGAUUUCUGGAAAAAAACCCAUCGGAGAAGCCCGAUAGCGACACGUGUCAAAUGCCCGUUGGAGUCUGUCAGCGAUGACGUUAGCGCUGACGUCAUCGCCCUCGGGCUGAAGCCCAGGCGAGACUUGCUCUUGGGCCUGCCCGGGUUGGUGGGACCCACUAAUUGUCCGGGCUCAAUCUUGCGCGCUGGAGGGCCUUGGGCUUGGGAGGGCAGCCUUUUGCCCGGUUUCAUGUUGAGCGGUGGAGUUGCUCUAAGGUGUGUACGUAUACCCCCCCCAAAAUUUAUAAUCAACUUAUUUUAUUUAUUUAUUUGUUUUAUAUAACUUGUAUAAAUGAGAAUUUCAUCUUGAAGGGUACAAUGGCCAUUUUGAUUGUAGGCUUGUAGGCUUGUAGCAGUGUUUUUUCGGCCUCCUUGAUACUCCUCUAUAGGUUAUGUAUAACUGUAAGAAGAAAAUAUACAUAAAGGCCAAAAAGAGAGGCCAAAGAGAGGUCGACAUCGAGUUUGUAGAUGAGAGCCUGAGUGCAAACAAAUUGGAGAAACCAUAGUCCCCAAGAAACCAUGGUGGCUCCUCAAGAAGGGAGGACUCUUCAGCAAAUUUAGCCUUAAAGCUUGCAAACAAAUUGGAGAAGUAACUCAUCUCUCUCUCUCUCUCUCUCUCUCUCUCAUGAAAAUAUUAGAGUUACGAAAAAGACAGCGUGAACUACAAUCCUUAAACAGCCUUUAAUAAAGCAGAGAUAUAGUCAACAAACUGACUAGCUAGAAAGUUGAAUAGCUAGCUCAUUCAAGCCCUUACUUGUUCUUUCUUUUAAGGUUCUUAUAAACAAGCCCCACAGGUGGGUUAUGAAUUCAAGAUCAUUAUUAAAUCUCUUCUUCACAAAUUGGGAGCUACCUCUUCUUCUUAACCUGGCUAAGAUCGACAUCGAGUUUGUUGUUCCGAUUAAAAGAUCGACCUGAAUAUGUGGGCAAAACUUAAAGCUUCUUCAAAGAUUGCGAAAGGUAUGCAGUAUAUGUUUUUGUUUAAUUAACUUUUCGGUUGAAAGUUAUAUCUUCAUCUUUUUUUUCCUCUACAAUUUUGGAUUAUUGGUUUUCAGGGAAGGAAGUGAUAAGACAAGUUCGAAAAAGCUUCAAUCUGAACGAAGAGUACCUGAGUGCAUUUAGAACCAAAUCCUAUGCAGACUUCUACAAUAAGGCUCAAUCGCUUGUAAACGAGCCAUCAUCUUCUUUUAGUUACAGCCAUGAUCACAAAUUCUCAAAAGUCCUCCUAGAACCUGGUCAAGAAGCCAUACCUGGUAUUCUUGAAUCCGCGAUUCUUUCGAAGGUGCCUGAAUUGAAAGGCCUUAUGCUCAACUACUGUGGCAUUAGUGCUGAGGCCUCAAAAAUAUGUAGCCACCUCUUAAAAAGCAUCAAACGUAUCCAAUCCAACUACCACGUCGUUCAACAAGCACUUGAUAAAUUUGAGGACUAUUCCCCGAACAAAAUCAAAUCUAUUGUUUCUGAGCUAAACUUGUUCAUUCUCCAAGGCCUCUGGAGUCAUAUUCUGAAUUGAAAAUACCUCAAGAGUCAAAGUAUUUUGAACUUUAAUAAGUCUGCUCAUAUUAAUUAUUCUAAUACUUGGAGAGGAAUUUUAUUUGGUGCUCAGAUUCUUCCAAAAGGUUUAAAGUGGAGGUUUGGCAAUGGUGAUGACAUCUUGUUUUGGAAGGAUAACUAGGUGGGUUGUGGCUUGCUUUAGGAUUUUUCCGCUAUUUCCCUUUCUGAAGACAUGUCGUUGUGGACAGUGCGAGAUUUUAUGUCUGACCAUGGAUGGAAUCUUGAUGCGCUUGACCAGGUCUUACCUAAUGAAAUUGUGCAAAGGAUUUGUGCUAUCCGUACUGGAUUUGAGUAUCAAAGAAAUGAUAAAUGAAUAUAGGGUUUAUCAAAUAAUGGCUCCUUUUUUGUUAAAUCUUCAUACCUUUCUUUCUUUGAUGAUGCAGGUGUUAUGCCUUGACCUUGGGACUUCAUUUGGAUGCUAUGCUUGCCCCAAAAGUUAAAAACCUUUGUUUGACUAAUUGGGCAUGGCAAAAUCCUUACUAAUGUUCAAAGGGAGAAGAGAUUGAUGACAACUGAUCCUAACUGCCACAAAUGCCUUUCCCUUCCUGAGACUAUGGAUCACGUUUUCAAAGGAUGUAGAGUUGCUCUUAAGGUGUGGAAUUACAUAAAGGUUCCUUUUGAUGUUCUUCACUCUUUCUCCUUAGACUUUACUGAUUGGCUAAGAAUAUUAACCUCAAGAGCAAGAUUUCGUUCUCCGGCAACCUUCCUUGGACACUUGUUUUUACUGUCUCUAUUUGGCAUUGUUGGAAAUGGAGAUGUAACUCUAUUUUUAACCUUGACUAUGAGACUGAUCCUCCCAACCCCUAUCACACUAUUCUGCAAUUUUCUAGUGAAUGGCUCUUGAUGCCAAUAAUGUGGUUAAUGCUAAGCCUACUAGUCCAAGUCCAUUGGAGUCUUCCUACUCUUGGCAACUUCAAAUUGAAUGCGGAUGGCAGCUGUAAAAUAGAUUCUUGGAAGAUCUGCGCUGGUGGUUUGCUAAGGGACUCUAAUGGAGCAUGGAUCUGUGGGUUCUCUGCCAAUAUUGGGAUUGGAAAUAUUAAUGAGGCUGAGCUAUGGAGUCUCUAUAGAAAUUUGCAAAUGGCUUGGGCCAAGGGCAUUAGGUCCCUUGAUAUUGAAUGUGAUUCAUUGUCUGUUGUCUCUCUGAUUGCUAAGGCUUGUAACCAUUCACAUCCUCUUUUUGCCUGAUUGAAGACUGCAAGUUGUUACUUAACUGUGAUUAGAGUUGCAAUGUCUCUUAAAUCUACAGGGAGCAAAAUAGAGCAGCUGAUCACCUUGCUAACUUGGGGUAUAUUGUGAUGAAAAGAUCAAGUAAUUGCCACCAUCUAAUGUCUUAGUUUCCAUAUAUUGUCGAGCACGAGAGAAAGAGAGGAGUCCAAAGCUGAAGAUGGGUUUCACUGAAAUUACCACUAUCUAAUGUCUUAGUUUCCACACGUUUGAAAUCAUCACUUGUAGCCUACGAAAAAUCAUUCGAUCUGAAUAUACUUAUUUCAUGGCCCUCAGACAUAUGAGCAGAUCUGUCGGGCAAAACGGAGAACAAAACUAAAAUUAACUUCUUGAAGAAAAAUACACGGUAAUGUUUGUUGAGUAAAAGGUGGUUGCGAUUAUGCUAAGCAGUUGUGGCAUUAUUCUUUUAAUUUCAAAUCUGGACAGUUCAAUAUAAUUCUACAUCUAAUAAUACAGGUAUGCACUUGAGGACUAUAUAUGAUGUUCCUCAUAAUAGAAUGACUCCACUCAAGCCUAGCUUCUAAUCAGCACUGGGCUGGAGCCCUAACAUGGAUCCAAAAGAAAAUUAUGCAACCACUCACAUAAUUCACGUGACAAUAAAAUAAAAUAAAAUAAAAUGCACUGAUUGAAAAGCAAAAGAACUUGUCCGAAUAUGAAAUGAUGCCCUCCUUCCUUUUCAAAAGAAAUCACUCAUUGACCGACGACUUGGACUUCUAUUGUUAACAUACUGCAAAUAAUUAAGCAGUUACAUUCAGCAAUCAAAUAUUCAAAGCUGCAGUGUGUCCAAUAAGUAAUUCAAAUGAUUAGAAAAGAGAAGUUUCAAUUUGGUUCAAAUGAUGUUAUUUCUUUCUAUCUUUUCUAUUAGGUAGGAGAGGAUAACAAUUUUCAUGUCUAAAUGUCUUUUCGAUUGCAAAAAUACAUGUAUAUGCUGCAAUAUACAUUUUGCUGUUUUGUAAAUCUUGUUUUGUUACUCAAAACCAAAGAAUUUAAUCAAGCAGAGAAGAAGCAAGAAUGAAAACAUGGUUAUCACAAUGUGUCAAGUGGGUGACACAUUUGCGCAUUGUUUCAGAAAAAUACUAGUGUGCAUAAACUUCAAUUAAAAUACCGAUGUACUUGCAGAGGACAAGAUCUUGAUAGCAAAACCAUUUUGAGUCUAUUGUUUGCUCAAAUUGCUCAAAUUGUGUUGCGCUUGUACUCAAAAAAAUUCCUCAGAAUUAACUAGUUAUUUUUUCUCAUUGCAAGCGAAUUUUGUUUUUCCUUCAUUGAUGAGGUUUCUCAACGUGGUGAUCUUGUUAAUCUACAAAGACAACUUCUUUCCCCAAUCUUAAAGGAUCAAUUUACUCAAGUUUGGGAUGAACAGUGGGGAACCUCUGUCAUUAAGAAUUGCUUGUAUAAUAAAAAGGUUCUUCUCAUUCUUGAUGAUGUGAGUGAAUCAAGCCAACUUGAAAAGUUGGCUGGUGAAAAAGAUUGGUUUGGUAAGGGGAGUAUAAUCAUUAUUACAACUAGAGAUAAACGGUUGCACUUGAAACCAACAUAAUAUAACCCCACCGUUUAGAAAACGAUGUUGAAAACAAUAUGCAUUCCAAAUCGCCAUGGAUAUAUAAAUAUAUAGUUGGUAAAGCCAUAGUGAAAUUCCAAAUCACAUAUUGCAGCUUUAUUACUCAAUCCAUUCAAACCUUUCGUAAUAUUCCCAUACCAUUCUCACGAGACGCGUGUCUGUUGGCACGGCGAGCGAGGAAGUAUCCUCAUCGAUAAAUAAUAAUGAAAUGAAUAGUUAUAUAUACGUUUAUAUAAUAUGAUAUAUCUAUAUAUAUAAAGCAAAAGGCAGAGAAUGGUGAAACAUUCAAAAUACCAGAAAUGCUCUUAGUUAAUGCAAACAUUAUUAUUAAUUAAAUGAGGAUAAUAUGGUAAAUUCACACUUUUCUAUAUUAAAAAAAUUAAAAUGAAAAGAAAAAUCAGAUAAUGGAUCCUAUUUUUUUGGAACACAACUACCUACUAUCUUUUUUAAUUCUAAAAUAAAUUUAAAUUUAUAAAAAAAAAAAAAAAAAAAAGCCUCUCGCAGGCGUGGAAGCGCAUGUAGAGAGGCUAGUAUGUGUGUGUAUAUAUAUAUACACACACACACACACGUAAGUAAGACACCACCUAGUUUGUACCGGGGAAAACAAUCCAGCCAGGGGAAUGUUUGACUAGUCCAUAUGGAAGAAUCCUCAAUUGACCAUGUGGCUAGGGAACUAGCCGUCCAACUGGGACUAAGCUCACCAGCACCUACAGCAGAAUCCUCAAUACUCGUACGCCUGUGACAAGUGCUACAAGCGCAGCCUAACCUCGCUAAGGGUCUACAAAACAUCCCGUUAAGGGUGCCUGAUUUCGACAUAUCCAAGUAUCACCACAUUCAAAGUAUCCGGGGAGGCACAUAGGGUAGUGCGUAUAACACUUCAACUGACAUACUAUAACCCACUUUCUUUCCAUAAUCUCACAUCAACACCCCACGUACCCCACACAUAGCCAAGCAUAGAUUGAAAUUCACAAAAUCCAUAUAUAUAAACUCAAAAUACUCAAAUAUGCCAAAACCCAAAUAUAUUACAAUCACUUUACGAAAAUAUCAAGUUCCAACAAUUAAUUUUAUAUAUAUAAGAAAUUCAAUAAACCAAUAAAUCCUUAUGCAUAGUUUGUCCUUCAUAAAAUAAUGCAUAUCAUUUGAAAACAAAGUCCACUCACAAGUAGUACCAUGCUACCCUGAAAGGGUCCCACCUGUUGCGUAUCCGAGGUUGGAGUAUCUAUUUCAGAAUACGUGUACGAGAUUAAUAUAAAACGCUUCGAGCGGGAACUUUAAAUUAAAAUCCUAGUUUUCCUGAGUUUCAAGUAUAAGCACGAGGAACGAGACGCUCCCAAGGUCCAACUAUAUGUUUCGAAUGUUGGAAUAGUCUCAAAAGACGAUCGGUCAACCGAAUGGUAAAACUUCCCAUAUUGGGUCAAUCGGACCCACGAGGCCCAUGACCUCCGUUUUAUGAUCCGAAAGUUCCUAUGGGUUCCACAAGGUUUAGAGUACAUGUCAUGUAAGUGUGGUCCAAAUCAAACGAUCGGAUCACUCGUGAUUGCACGAUCGGACGGUCAUCGUUUGACGUAAAAUUUAAGUUAUUGAAUCGGAACAUCUGGGGCUCCGAUUCACAAUCCGCGAGUUCCUACACGAUUCAAGAGAUGCCUAGAUCAACAUAUAUAAAAUUGGAGUUGAUCCGACGGCCCAAAUAUAUCGAACCAGGAUAACGCCUAAUAUGCGAUAUUCGAUCGAAAAUCAAACAAUAACCAAAUUCAAAUAUGAGAAUACCGUCAUGCUAAGGACAAAAUGGGGAUCAUUUUAGGCAUCAAAUACCUGCCACAAAGUGACCCAUGCACCCCACAGCCGCCACCGGCGCGUGGGUGUCCAAAGUGAUUCCGGCGAAACGAAAAUCUCCAAACCGCCAGUAAAAACUUAUACCUACAUGAUUAGGAUAUUGAGUGGAGAAACUUUUAUUCUUGGACCAACCCCAAAAAGUGGCCGGAAAUGGCCGAAAUAACGAGCCGAAAAUCGGCCAGAUUUCAAGCGAUAAAUUGACAACCAAAACAUAGAAAUCAAUCCUAAAUAACCCAACCAACAGCUAGAACACAUUGAGAGGAUGAAAAAGCAUACCUAGAUUGUCACGACCUGACUCCCCUAGCAAGAUAUUGUUCGCUUUGGACCUCCCCCCCUUUUCACGAUUUUGUUCUUGGGCUCAAGCUAAUGCUAUCUUGCCCAAAAGGUCUCUUACUAGGAAGAGAAGUGCCCACACAUAUAAGACACUUCACCUUUUCCUCCCCGAGCAAUGUGGGAUCGCUCACUGUUCUUGUUUCCACAAGACACGGGUCUUACAAUCCACCCCCCUUGAGGCCCAGCGUCCUCGCUGGCACACUUUCAGUCGGGGUCCAGCUCGGAUACAUUUGUUACGACUCGACUUCCUUAGCAAGAUAUUGUCCGCUUUGGACCUCUUCCCCUUACAGUUUUGUUCUUGGGCUCAAGCUAAUGCUAUCUUACUCAAAAGGCCUCUUGCUAGGAAGAGAAGUGCCCACACAUAUAAGGCACUUCACUUUUCCCACCCCAAGCGAUGUGGGAUUGCUCACCGUUCUUGUUUCCCAAGACACGGUCUACGUAAUAGUACUAUUCAUUUCCCCACAAUCCUUCCAGGUUACAAAGUGAACAAAAUACCCCUACCCCAGGAGCAAAAUAGUAAUUUCAUAAUUUAUAAAAAUUAAUUAAAUUAUCGAAUAAAUAAAUUUUUGGGUCGGUAUGUUACAGUACCUGAGGACCAUAUAUGGCGGUCCUCAUAAUAGAACGACUCCACUCAAGCCUAUUUUCUAAUCAGCACUGGUCUAUUUUCUUUUCUACUAUUUUGUCUUUUUGUGUGCGGAAGUUGGUUUGGAGUUGCAUAUAAACAAAUUUUUUUCUUCUUGACAAUUUAUUAUUUUAUGGGUUUUGUUAGGAGGAUGCUUGGCAAAGUUGGCUGAUGGUGAAUGAAUAGACCCAAUUUCACAUAGGAGGAUGCUUACCAUUUGUUACGACUGAUGUGCUUGCAAAGGACAAGAUCUUGAAAGCAAAGCCAUUUUGAGUCUAUUGAUUGCUCAAAUUGCUCUAAUUACAUAUAAACUUUUGUGUUGUGCUUAUACUAAAAAAAUUCCUCGAUUAAUUUUCAGAAUUAACUAAUUAUUUUUUCUCAUUGCAAAUGAUAUAUAUUUUUUUUUUUCCUUCAUUGAUGAGUUGUAGGAGUAUGAAAAAACAUGUAAAAGGAAAAUCCUUGACCCUUAACCAAAUUUCGUUAUUAUCGUGAGGGCGAUAUCAAGUAAUUGCCUGCAUAUUUCCUUGAGUAUCAAAAAACAUGUAAAAGGAAAAUCCUUGACCCUUAACCAAAUUUCGUUAUUAUCGUGAGGGCGAUAUCAAGUAAUUGCCUGCAUAUUUCCUUGAAUACUCGCCCGAUCCAAUCAAAAGAAAGCACUCAUUGAAAAGCAAAAGAAUCAUGUAGCUUUCUUUUCUGGGGUUGUUCCUCCCUCUUUCAUAAAAAGGAAAGAAAAAUAGAUGACUCCCAUUGGUGAAAAGAGAAACCGUGUGCUCACCACUACACGGUUUCCAAGUUUCUUCUUGUUGGGUUCUUGGCUGAUCUUGAGAAGAAGUAUAUUUUGUGAGUUUCUCUGGCUCUGUAAUUUUUUCAGGGUUGAGGUAACACUAAGCUAAACUUGUUGGCUUGCUUCGACUAGAUUUCCAUAUCUGUUUUGUUCAGGUAACGUUGACUAAAGGGUAUACAACUUUUAGUUCACUUGUGUAGUCAUGAGGCUUAUAUUUUUGUUUUAAAUGUUGAAAUUCGUAUUUUUGUUCCUUCUAAUGUUUACAUGUUGAAUUCCUCUGUUUCUCUAUGUUGAAAUACAAAACAUAUAUAAUUUUCCAAGUUCUCUCUGUUUCUCUCUUGUUGUUUCCUCAACGUCCUUAUUUCUCCUCUGGUUUAAAUUAUAAUCCUUUUCUUUUUUGCCGUUUCUCAUCAUCUUUCUAUUUAGUUAGCAAAAGGCUUAUUUUCAUUGAGUGUUUUCAGCAGCAGCGGAUUGCCUAAUGGCAUUGAGCACCCAAAGAGACUCUGCCUUUCUUACUUCACCUGAUCAGUCUGCUCCUCAACCGAACCAUGAUGUGUUUUUGAGUUUCAGGGGUGAGGACACUCGAAAUAGCUUUGUAUCCCAUUUAUACCACGAAUUGCAGCUCAGGGGCAUUAAAACAUUCAAGGAUGAUCCAAAGCUUGAAAGAGGGACAGCUAUCUCUUCGGGGCUCUUCAACGCAAUCGACGAAUCAAGGCUUGCAAUCAUUGUCCUCUCGCCAAAUUACACGUCUUCUUCCUGGUGCUUGGAUGAGCUUACAGAGAUUCUCCAAUGCAUGAAAUCCAAGAGCACCGUUCUGCCAGUGUUUUAUCAUGUGGAUCCUUCCGACGUACGAAAACAAACCGGUAGUUUUGCGUGCGCAUUCACUGAGCAUGAAAAAAGGUUUAGGGAAGACAUGGAAAAGGUGAAGAGCUGGAGAGCUGCUUUAACUGAAGUGGCCAAUUUAUCUGGGUUUGAUUCAAAGAAUGAGUAAGUUUUUUCUUAAGCCAUUUGAUCGUAAGCCAUCACAUCUUCUUAUAUGUAUGCUUCUUAUUUUUAACUUAAUCAUCGUUUUACUUUUCUUCCUUGUAGGCAGUGGCGGACCCAGAAAUUUUUUAGCAGAGGUGCAAAAUUGAUUAAGUAUGAAAAAUAGUUUUUUGGAAUAAUCAUUUUCUCAAGAUAAUUUUUGGCGGCUUUUAUUCCUUACACAUUAAAUAAGAAAACUUGAUUUUAUGGGAUUUUAGUAUGAAGUAUAUAUUGACUUAAUGAGCCAUCAUUUUUAGCCUAAAUCGUAUUUUGCACUAAAACCGAUUUUUCAUAUUUUGAUUUGAUAGGAAUUUGAUUUUCUAGUAUUUUUAUUUGAAUCCAAAUGGGGGGUACUUCCUUAUUUACAUUAUAAACUUAAGUAAAUGGAGUAAUAUAAAAAUAAAUUAAAGUAAAAUGACAAAGACAUUUACUUAAAUGUUGAAAAUGGAAAUAAGGUAAUUUGUACACCAGUUGAGCAAAGGGGCAGUUUGAAGCACCUACAAUGGUUUUUCCGGCGAGGGAAGGUGCAAGUGCACCUCCUUGCGCCUAUGUAGAUCCGCCAGUGCUUGUAGGUGUGAAAGAAAGCUUAUUGAAAAGAUUGUUCAACGGGUGUGGAGUAAAACGCAUCGCACAUUCAAAUUGUUGGAUUCCACAGAGUGAGUGGGAAUUAAGUUUACACUUGAGCAAGUAGAUUUGCUUUUGGCUCAUCCUACGGAUGAUGUUCGCUUUAUAGGGAUAUGGGGGAUGGGCGGAAUUGGCAAAACAACCAUUGCUCAGCUAGUUUAUGAUAGCAUUUCUACCCAUUAAAGUUAGCAGCUUUCUUGCUAAUGUUAGAGAGGUUUCUCAACGUGGUAAUCUUGUUGAUCUACAAAGACAACUUCUUUCCCCAAUCUUGAAGGAUCAAAUUACUCAAGUUUGGGAUGAACAGUGGGGAAUCUCUGUCAUUAAGAAUUGCUUGUGUAAUAAAAAGGUUCUUCUCAUUCUUGAUGAUGUGAGUGAAUCAAGCCAACUUGAAAAUUUGGCUGGUGAAAAGGAUUGGUUUGGUAAGGGGAGUUUAAUCAUUAUUACAACCAGAGAUGAACGGUUGCUGUUAAAGCAUGAUGUGCAGGUAUCAUAUAAGGUAGAGGGAUUAGGUGAUGAUGAUGCUCUUGAGCUCUUUAGUCGGAAUGCCUUUAAAAAGAAUGAGCCUGAGGAAGGUUAUUUGGAAUUGUCAAAAGGUUUUGUAAAUUAUGCCAGAGGACUUCCACUAGCUCUUAAACUUUUGGGAUGCUUAGUGUAUAAGAGAGAUCAAUAUGAAUGGAAAAGUGAAUUGGAUAAGCUGCAGAAAAUUCCUAAGUCAGAAAUUAUUGAUUUGCUCAAAAUAAGUUACGAUGGAUUGGAUGAGAUGAAUAAGGAUAUAUUUCUUGAUGUUGCAUUUUUUCACAAGGGGAUGUUCAAGGAGCGUGUAAUUGAAAUACUAGACUGCUGUGGCCUAUGUGGUCAUAUUGGGAUAAAUGCUCUUGUUCAGAAAUCACUUUUAACUAUUGAUAUUUCAAAUAACACGGUUGAGAUGCAUGAUUUGAUACAAGAAAUGGCAUUGGAAAUUGUUCGUCGAGAGUGUCCUGAAGAGCCUGGUAGACGAAGUCGAUUGUGCAAUCAUGAUGAUAUCUCUCAUGUAUUCAUAAACAAUACGGUAAUAAGCUAUAUAAAGGAUAUUAAGUUUUGAAAGAUUUAUGAUUUAUCUUUAACACAGUAUUAGACUUAAUUGAUGAUAUCUUUGAUGUAUUCAUAAACAAUGUGAUAAGAAGUUAUAUGAAGAUAGUUUUGGAAGAUAUAUGAUUUCUCUUUAACACAUUUUAGACUUAAAUGUGGAAUUAACUUUUCUUUUGCUAUUCUUAAUUACAGGCAACGGACAAAAUUAAAGGCAUCAAAUGAUGCAUGGGGACAUUUGAAAAGGCAUAUUCCAAUUGUGAAGCCUUGUCUAAGAUGCUUAACCUGAGAUUUCUUGAAUUUGAUAAUAUGAUGAUUUCUUCAAGCCACGGAAUUCUUCCUAAUUCCUUGAGAAGUAUCAAAUGGAGUCGGUAUCCUUCCAAAUUUCUCCCAUCAGAUUUUCAACCGAAUUUUCUUUUUGCACUUGAGAUGCCUAAUAGCAAACUUGUUGGGCUUUGGGAUGGAAGAAAGGUAAGAGUAGUGACCAUAUGCCAUUCUAGAAAUUAGUUUUUUUUAAAAAAAUAAAUAUUUUGUUUUAAAAUAAAUCUGAGCUAAUGAUCUAUUCUACCAUUGUUAUGAAUUGUACAGGACUUGCCCAACUUGAAAAAAAUGAACCUUUGUGGCUCUGAAAACUUGACCACAACCCCAGAUUUCUCUGGCAUUCCGAAUCUUGAGGUGUUAGAUUUUCUAUUUUGUAAGAAUUUGGUUGAGAUUCACCCAUCAAUUGCAGAUCUCAAAUGUCUAACAACGUUGUCUCUUAGUUUUUGCUCAAAAUCGAAAAAGACUCCAGAAUUUUCAGGGCAAAUGAAAAAUGUGUCAUGGCUUUGUUUAUGUCAGACCUCCAUUGAGAAAUUAUCUUCAUCAAUAGGAUGUCUGGUUGGCCUUACUACUCUGCUUCUGUUGAAUUGCAAAAAUCUCGAGGGUUUUCCGAGUGAAAUUUGUAAUUUGAAGUCUCUUGAAGAAUUGGAUGCAUCUAGAUGCUCAAAAAUUGACAAACUCCCAGAGAAUGUGGGGGAGAUGGAGUCUCUUACAAAGCUUCGAUUGUAUGGAACUUCUAUAAGACAGCUGCCACGCUCCAUUGUUGGUUUGAAAAAACUAAGGGAUCUAUCUUUGGGUGGAGGAAGUGGAUCACAGCCUAAUAAAUCAAGGUUUUGGUGGGGCCUCCCCCGCUUAUAUAAAAGAAAUGCUUUAGUGUUGGGUUCACUUGAUGGUUUAUGCUCUUUGGGGAUAUUGGAUCUGAGUGAUUGUGAACUUUGUGAAGGGGAUCUUCCCAGUGAUAUUGGCUGCCUGUCCUCUUUAGCAGAAUUCAAGCUUAGUGGAAACAAUUUUGUUAGCCUUCCUGCAAGCAUUGGAUGUCUGUCUAAGCUUAAGUUAUUUUGGGUGAAUGGGUGCCAAAGGCUUCAACAAUUGCCAGAUCUUUCUAAGCUUAUCUCAUUAAUGGAUAUAGACAUAGCCGGUUGCACUUCCUUAAAAAUGUUACCACAUCUUUCGUCAAAUUGCUCAUUAGUGGAUAACAAAAUAGGUUAUCGUAAGUUUAAUUGUGCCAAUUGCUUUGUAUUGUUUGACAAUGAAGGCUACGAUAGUAUAAUACUGAAAAUGCUACAGCGAUAUCUUCAGGUUCUCUCUCUCUCUCUCUCUCUCUCUCUCUCUCUCUCUCUCUCUCUCUCUCUCUCUCUUUUGUUGUUUGCUAUAAUAAUAAUUACAACUUGCUAACCUCAUAAAUAUGUAUGUAUAUGGUGCAGGUAAUCCUUAGGCCUCCAUACAAAUUCGAAAUUGUAACUCCUGGUGUGAGAAUGUGAAGGUAAAGAGUCCCACAUUGGAAAGUUGAGAAACCUAGCAAGGGCUUAUAAGGAGUUGGGUUACUCCCCCCAUUGCCAAUUGGUUUUGGGGUGGAACCUCAACUUCCUUUAUGGUAUCAGAGCGGGUUGCCCACGUGUGAAAGCCCAACGGCCACACGUGCUCCACGUCACCCAAAAUGUGUUGUCCACGUGUUAGGCUUGAAAAUUCGCCACACGUGCGGGGGCGUGUGAGAAUGUGAAGGUAAAGAGUCCCACAUUGGAAAGUUGAGAAACCUAGCAAGGGUUUAUAAGGAGUUGGGUUACUCCCCCCAUUGCCAAUUAGUUUUGGGGUAGAACCUCAACUUCCUUCACCUGAAGGAAAAUUCCAUAGUGGUUUAGUAAUCAAAGUUUGGGACAUUCCCUAACUGUGGAGCUACCUACCACGUGGAUGGGAAUUGCUUUAUGUGCUGUGUUUGAAGUUCAGGCUGAUCUUUCUGAUUUUCAUUAUUUUCAAAUUAGCUGUUUCGCACAAGGAUUGCUGCCACAUGGAGUAUUUUCAAAAUAUUUUAAAAUAGGCGAUGUUGUGUCAGAUCACCUUUGGGUAAUUUAUGUAUCUCGUAAAGAAUUUGAGAAGAUAUGCGGUCAGAUAAAGGUUUUGUUCACAACUUAUUAUUCUCAAGACAUAAUGUGGGGAGACAAAAAAUCUUGUGUCAAGAAGUGUGGGUUUCGUUUGGUGCACGAGCAAGAUGUGGAACAACUCAACCAGAUCAUGAUGAACAAAUCCAUCAUCAAGAGCACUACUACUUGUCCUACCAAAUCAGCUGAUGCACAAGGUCAACAACGCCACAAUGACAAGGAUGCUGGUCCUAGUGGAAGUGGUAGCUCUCACCAAAAAUCUCUCUUCUGCAAUACCUAUGCUCUUUCCGAAGAGGCAGACCAAGAUGAAUUAAAAUGAGGUUGUUGAUGAAGCUCGGCCCAGAAAAAGAAAAAAGAUCGAUGUGAUGGGGCUACCUAUGAUCCUCACUUUCAAAGCAGAGGCAUCACAGCUGCUGUAUUCAAUGUGAGUGCUUCUUUCGCUGAUUCUAGUUUUCAUUUUUUUGGGAUUGUGUAUUUCAAUGAUGUUGUUUCUCUCUGCUUGUGCUUCAUUCUUUGGCCGUAUAUUGCCCAAAGUUUUGUUUUUCACCUAUUGCUCCUUCAUUUGGUUCUCCCACUGUUUUUUUAUUUGGCUCUAUUCCUUGUUUUGUUUUAGGAGCAAAUCUGAUUUUUUCUCAACUUGUAAAGAUUUUCCCCCUCUUUUUAAUAACUACACUUUUUAUGAAAAUUUUCAUAAAAACUGUUACUUAGGCCUUUUGAUUUUGAGGGUAACCACUUUGAUUUGUUACUUAGGCCUUGGACCCUCUUAUUUUUCGCUAUUGUUGAAAAGUUUAAUAAAAACUGUUAUUCUUAAAAGACGAGCAAAAUUUUUGCUACCUUCGUUAAAAACUCCUCCUCCUCAAAUAUCUGCACCUCAAUACUUUAAACGCCAACAACGAUGCUCUCACAAUUGAUACUAUUAGUAAGUCACCACCAUCUAUCUCCCUGCAUUUUCUUUUCUAGCCAUACAAUUAUCUUUCUUUUUUUGGGUCUGAAUAAGUUCUUCAUUAACAAAACGUCAAAGCAGCGCCAACAAAACACAACAAACAAGACAAAGGCUAAACUAAGCUCCAGACAGAGAGUUGAGAUAAGCAGCCUAAGUCACAAAAGAGCAAAUCUAAAGCAACAAUAAUUUAUGAAAACCUCCCUAGAGGACAAGGGAGGCCACCAGACAGUAAAACUCCCACAAGAGACAGAGGUGGCUUGACAGCCCAACUUUCCGAUUGCUCCGCUCUGAUUCCAAUCGCCGCUGUGCGGUUCAAUUUCCUUGACAUCCAGCUCCAAAGAACCGAUCUAAAACAAACAGAGAUCUUCUUAAACUCAUCCAGAAGAGGUUGGAUAGACCAAACACCAUUUUGUUUUCUCCUCCUCUGACUCCUUCCACCAGAAUCUUCGAAUCUGUCUCGAGGAUAAUGUCGGUGAAAUUAUGAUUUAGAGCAAAUUUGAAAGCACGAAGGCUAGCAGCCGCCUCUGCAACCAGAGCCAAGUUGCAAUGGAACGAAGUCGCUAAACCACCACAAAAGGAUCCGAUAGCAUCUCUAGCAACUACACCCAGCCCUGCCAAAUGCGAGUCCUUUUUCCAUGCUCCAUCAAAAUUAAUUUUCACAUAGUUAGACAUUAGAGGCCUCCACCCUUGAGCAAGAAUGUUUGGAUCAACUGAAGCAUCCCCAAAAGGCAUAGGAGAUUUGGCCUUAGCAUCUAAAAACUCCCUACGGUUUUGUAUUGCUCGAUCAAUAGUGAGCCGGGGAUCAAUGUGGCUGCUCUUAAAGACAAAAUUACAUCCAGUCUUCCAUAUCUCCCAGCAAAUGAAGCUAAUAUUAGUAAGUAGAAAAUGAACUUCCCGCUUGCUUAAACCUUGAAAAUUAAUCACUCCCUUGAGCCAUCUGUCAACAGAAGAGAAACCCCUCAUAUCAACUAUGUAGUUCAAAGGGACAACAAACCGCACAGCAUUAGUCCAAGGACAUAAGAACAAAAGGUGCUCAAUUGUUUCUUCCUCCACACCACAAAUUGGACACACCGGGGAGUCAAUAAUUUUGCUUCUAUAGAGAUUCCAAUGGGUAAAAAUGGCAUUAGGUAAUACCCUCCAGAGGAACAUUUUAAUUUUUUGCCAUAGUUUCAAUCUUCCAUAUACACACCCAGACCUCUUUUGGAAUUGAGUAGGAGGCCGACACUAUUGCACGGAUUCGAUAUGAACGCCAGGAAUGAAUUCUUCUGUAUCCUGAUUUGACUGAGUAGGCAAUAUUAGUUGUCCAGUGCCACACCACUCUGUCCUAUCUCUCAGUAUUCGCAAUUGUACAACAUCGGAUAAUCUCCCAAGUGCAAGGUUGUACAUACGGCUCAAUCAACUCUAGCUUCCAAGAAUCUAUCUCCUUUUCCAUAAUCUCACAAACUAACUGAGGGACUGAUGAGGGAACAACUUGCCUAACUAUGAUAAUCCCAUCAUGGGGAGGAGAAAGCCAAAGGUCUUUCUAAAUAUUCGUAUUUUUUCCAUAAAAAAUCUGGCAGCGAGAGUCUUUGAUCAAAGCAUCCCUUCCUUCAAGGAGGCUAGACCACGGACAAGCACGGGAACCUUUUUCGGCAUUAAGGAAAUCACAAUUCGGGUAGUAACUGUUGGUUUAUAAGUGUGAUUGCUGAAAUAUAAUUAGAACAAAGAAGUUUCUAUUCUUCGUUUAAAAGGCAGCUUUGGAUCACAGUCCAAGUAUGCAGCAGAAAAUGUAAUAGUCUUGUGCCACUUGUCUUUAUCUCAUAGGGUAGUUAAAUGAGUGGCUAGGAUUAAAUGAUGUAAUGAGGAAUAUUCCAUUCCUUACGGUUUUGUCAGAGCACAAUAUAUGCAUGUUAUAUUGGAGCUGAGCUAAUACGAUUUUGAGCUAGCUUCUUCUCCAAUCUCUCUCUCUCUGAAAUUCUCUCAUCUUUCAUCUAGCCAAUCUCUCUGCAUUUCUAUAAGCCUUAUUACAUUGAUGAUUGAGUAAAUUUACAAGAUAAUGGUCUGUAUAUGUUAACAUGGCCUCAGAGCUAGGUUUGAUCAAAUAACACUGGGCGUUUAGAGUUGUGAGCAAUCGAAGUUUGUAGCUGAGUUUGAGUUUUGGAGAUCUGAGUCUAACACGGCUAGGUCAAGUGGUGGUGAAUACACUCGUAAAGGUAUAAGACCAAUUAAGCCAUUAACAUAAUUAAGAUGAACAAAAUAGACCCUACUAAUUAAGUAACUAGCAUGGCUAGAGACCCCAUGCGUUAUUCUUAUUGAUUGAAGAUCUCAAAUUCUUCAAGGGACCAACUUCUCCAAAUUAGGAACAACUUUUACAUUUAUAGGAUCAUGAAUUGAAGGUGGUGAUGGUGGAUUUGCCGGCGGGGAUUUGACAUGAUCGGCUUCAUCACAGUAACCCUUGAGUACAUCAGUCUCUUCCGCGGUAAACCCUAGCGUGCCAAGUAAGGCAGGCCAACACUGAUGCUCAAUGGUCCGAAUGGCUUCACAGCAACUGUGACCCAAGUAAGUUUCACCAUUCAGAAAAAACAUGACAACCUCACCAGAACAUGCCUGGAGUUGAAACAACGAGUCCCAACAGUUGGAAGAUUCUUCACCCAAAUUCAACCUGGCUGCGAGGUUCGGGUUUGACCGAAUUAGGUUAGGAUUCAAAAGUCGAGCACUUGUGGCUAAGAAUGGCAUAGUCAAGGUUAGAAGAGCUGUGAGAAGAAAGAGCUUGAAAGUUGUGUAAGCUGCCAUUUUGAUUUUGAUUAUUGUGGAUGAGUAAGAGAUUGAUACGAAUGAAGGUUUUUAUAUAGAUGGUGAGGUGAUUGUGUCAUAAAAUGAAAAAUAAAAAACGUUAUGUGCAUUGGGUGGUGAAGAGGCUGCUGAGGAUAACUCAUAAUGACUAUGAUCAUGUGAUUAUUUAACGGCAGGAGAAGUGGAUGAGACUCAACUCAUCAAUUGAUGAUGCAUAUAUUAUUUAUAAUAGAAUUUGUGGGAAUUAAAAUGAUUAAACGGAUUCCCAAUCAAUGAUAUAUCAGACAAAUUAAUGGAUAGUUUCUUGUGUUUGUGAUGGUUGGUUUGCUUGCUAGCUAGUGUAGGUUUUCUUUGCUGAUUUCAAAAGGGUUGACCAUUCAUUUGCUUACUGGAAGUUGGUCAUUGUAUUGAAUGAGACCCCUAAUUGGAUGAUUAAAUUUAUGUUUGCUUUAUAUUUUAAUUUUAUUUUUCUUUUGGAUUUUUAAUUAUUGAAAAAAUAUGCUUACCUGUUUAGAGCUAGACAAUGACAAUUUAUGAUUGUGGGUUUGCUUUGGCACUGUGCUUUUGCAUGUCUGCCCGAUUCGCUAGAGAUUUUGGGCUUUAGUUGGUGCCCUUUAGCCUUCGGUUGCUAUCUUGGGCUUCCACUUGACGAGAAUUCUAUAGUGCAGGCCUUAUCUAAGCCUCUUGGAUGUUUGUUCAGCUCUGUUGUGGUUAAUUGGGCUGUGUUUGUUGCUCGCUGAGUUUUUCUACACUGCGUUCCUUUUUGAACAAUAUCUCCAUAGCUUACAAUACAUCUUAAUGUCGUCUUCUUAUAGCUCUGAAACUUCUCCUAAUAACAAUCAAAAGAAAAUGAUGGCUCCAAAAUGUUUUCCCUAGCGUGAAAAUGUACAUUCUUAUGACUAGAUUGAAUUCAUCAAUCAUGUGCUACUUCUUAACUCCAAUUUUCCAAAUAUUUUACAAUGAAAAAGUUACUAUAAUUUUAUUCAAGAUACAACUAGCACUGCCAAAUUCUACUCAAUUUAUUGUGAUGUUAAUGAACCUAUCAUGAAUUCCAUUAUGUUGCAUAAUUUGAAACUGAGAUGCUAAAUAAGAGAAGACUACAUAAUUGAAUAAUAGAUUGCACAAACUAUCAAAGAUACGGUCAAUGAAACAGACAAGGGAGGAGUUCCGACAAAGCAAUUGAUCGAUUUUAGAUCAUAUCAAUGCCAAUGUUUAUGCGUCUGAUUGAGAAUUCUUGUUGGCUUAUUUCAUCCUACACAUAACAGAAUAUAGCAGUUUAAACAGUCACAUAAGUUGUGUCAAUAAGAACCAGGCAGGUCUAAUGAACCUGAAGAUUUUGAGGUGAAAAUUUCAUGCGAACCUGGCCAAUAAGCAUGCAAAUACUUUCGAUCAUUUUGAGUUGCACAUUAGCAGUGUGCCCAGUAACGGCCAUGGCAUUAGGAACCCAAAUUUCAGUUGACUACAGGACACAAAUGGCUGGCUUCAAUAGCAGUAGUCUUGUAAUUAUGUACUUGAAUGCAGAAACAAAAAAAAGUUACAGUAUGUCCUGUUUAUUUGCAUCAUAAAUCUUGCAUAUACAUACUUUUGCAAUGGGAAAAAAAAAAAGUAGCAAGAUAAAUUGUUCUCCUCCCCUACUUAAUAUCAUUUAAACGUGUUGGAAGACAUAUCACUGAAACAAACAAGACAAACAACCAUUCACUCUAUCUUAAGAUAGAUGAGAUCAUGGAAGACAUAUACUUGGUUGCUGAAAGUAACUACUUAAUGAUUUGCAGUAUGUUAACAGAUACUUUGCUCAAGUGCUAUAUAAUAUGCAGCAACAUGAGUUAAUUAACCUGAUUAAUUAGUGCUCUGCAGUAGUUACCAAAGAAAUGUUCUUUCUCAGAUGCAUAAAGCUCAUGUUAUCAACCAAGAUGACAAAUGUACAUGAGAGAGAGAGAGAGAGACACAGAGAGAGAGAGAGAGAGAGCAGAGGAAUUAUCAUCGAAGAUAUGAAUCUAAUGAUAAAUGUAUGGCUAGAAAAGAAAAUGCAGGGAGACAGAUGGUGGUGACUUACUAAUAAUAUCCAUUGUGAGAGCAGUGUUAUUGGCCUUUAAAGUAUUGAGGUGCAGAUAUUUGAGGAGGAGGAGUUUUUAACGAAAGUAGCAAAAUUUUAGCUCCUCUUUUCAGAAUAACAGUUUUUAUUAAACUUUUCAACAAUAGCGAAAAAUAAGAAGGGGCAAGACCUAAGUAGCAAAUCAAAAGUCCUAUGCACCCCCUGCUGUAGUUGAAAAUUUUCAUAAAAAGUGCAGUUGUUAAAAAGAGGGAGAAAAUCUUUACAAGUUGAGAGAAAUUCAGAUAUGCUCCUAAAACAAAACAAGGAAUAGAGCCAAAUAAAAAAACAGUGGGAGAACCAAGUGACGGAGCAAUAGGUGAAAAACAAAACUUAGAGCAAUAUAAGGCCAAAAGAAUGAAGCACAAGCAGUGGAACAAACAAUAGUACGUUAAAUCCCAAAAAAUUGUAAACUAGAAUCAGCAACUCACAUUGAAAUACAGCAGCUGUGAUGCCUCUUGCUUUGAAAGUGAGGAAUCAUAGGUUAGUCCCAAUCACAUCGAUCUUUUUUCUUUUUCUGGGCCGAGCUUCGUCAACAACAUCAUUUAAUUCAUCUUGGUCUGCCUCUUUGGAAAGAGCAUAGGUAUUGCAGAAGAGAGAUUUUUGGUGAGAGCUACCACUUCCACUAGGACUAGCCUCCUCGUCAUCAUGAUGUUGUUGACCUUGUGCAUCAGCUGAUUUGGUAGGACAAGUAGUAGUGCUCUUGAUGAUGGAUUUGUUCAUCAUGAUCUGGUUGAGUUGUUCCACAUCUUGCUCUUGCACCAAACAAAACCCACACUUCUUCACACAAGAUUUUUUGUGUUCCAGCAUUAUGCCUUGAUGAGAAUAAUAAGUUGUGAACAAAAACUUUAUCUGACCGCAUAUCUUCUCAGAUUGUAUACGAGAUGCAUAAAGUACCCAAAGGUGAUCUGACACAACAUCGCCCAUAGUAAAUUCUUUUGGAAAUACUCCAUGUGUCCGCAUUCCUUGUGGGGAACAGUUAAUUUGAAAAUAAUGAACAUCAGAAAGAUCAGCCUGAACUUCAAACACAGCACAAAAAGCAAUUCCCAUCCACGUGGUAGGUAGCUCCACAGUUAGGGAAUCUCCCAAACUUUGAUUACUGAACCACUCUGGAAUUUUCCUUCCAGGAGUUAAAAUUGUGAAUCCGUAAAGAGGCCUCAUAAAACGGAGUACCUGUACCAUAUACAUAGAUAUAUACAAGGUUAGUAAGCUGUAAUUAUUAUUACAGCAAACAACAAAAGAGAGACAGACAGACAGACAGAGAGAGAACCCGAGGCUGAAGGUAUCGCUGUAGCAUUUUCAGUAUUAUACUGUCGCAGCCUUCAUUGUCAAUCAAUACAAAGCAAUUGGCACAAUUAAAAUGUAUUCUGUUGUUUAAUGAGCAAUUUGACGAAAGAUGUGGUAACAUUUUUAAGGAAGUGCAAUUGGCUAUGUUUAUAUCCACCAAUGAGGUAAGCUUAGAAAGAUCUGGCAAUUGUUCAAGACUUUGGCACCCAUUCACCCAAAAUAACUUAAGCUUAGAAAGACAUCCAAUGCUUGCAGGAAGGCUAACAAAAUUGUUUCCACUAAGACUUAAUUUUUCUAAAGAGGACAAGCAACCAAUAUCACCGGGAAGAUCCCCUUCACAAACGCCACAAUUACUUAGAUCCAAAUACUUCAAAGAGAAUAAACCAUCAAGCGAAGCCAACACAAAUGCCUUUCUUCCAUUUAAGCGGGGGAGGCCCCACCAAAACCUUGAUUUAUUAGGCUGUGAUCCACUUCUUCCAUCCAAAGAUAGAUCCCUCAGUUUUUUCAAACCAACAAUGCAGCGUGGCAGCUGUCUUAUAGCAGUUCCAUUCAGAUGAAGCAUAUGUAAACACUCCAUCUCUCCCAUGUUCUCUGGGAAUUUGUCAAUUUUUGAGCAUCCACUCACCUCGAGCUCUGUAAGAGACUUCAAAUUACAAAUUUCACUUGGAAGACCCGCGAGAUUUUUGCAAUUCUGUAGUGACAGAUCAGUAAGGCCAACCAGACAUCCUAUUGAUGAAGAUAAUUUCUCAAUGGACAUCCCGCUUAAAUUAAGCGUUGACAAAUUUUUCAUUUGCCUUGAAAAUUCUGGAAUCUUUUUCAAUUUUGAGCAAUAACCAAGAUCCAAGCUUUUAAGACAUUUGAGAUUUGCAAUUGACGGGUGAAUCUCAACCAAGUUCUUACAAAAUUGAAAAUCCAACAACUCAAGAUUCGGAACGCCACUGAAAUCUGGGGUUGUGGUCAAGUUUUUAGAGCCAAAAAGCUUCAUUUUUUUCAAGUUGGGCAAGUCCUGUGCAAUUCAUAACAAUGGUAGAAUAGAUAAUUAGCUCAGAUUUAUUUUAAUUUUUAAAACAAAAUAUUUAAAAUAAAAUUAAAAACUAAUUUCUAGAAUGGCAUAUGGUCACUACUCUUACCUUUCUUCCAUCCCAAAGCCGAACAAGUUUGCUCUCACGCAUCUUAAGUGCAAUAAGGAAAUUCGGUUGAAAACUUGAUGGGAGAAAUUUGGAAGGAUACCGACUCCAUUUGAUAAUUCUCAAGGAAUUAGGAAGAAUUCUGGGGCUUGAAGAAAUGAUCACAUUAUCAAAUUCAAGAACUUUCAGGUUACACAUCUUAGAGAAGGCUUCACAAUUCCAAUCUGCCAUUUCAAGUCUCGCCAUGCGUAAGGCAAUGCCUUUAAUUUUGUAUGUUGCCUGUAAUUAAGAAUAGUAAAGGAAAAGUUAAUUGCACAUUUAAGUCAAAUUUCAAGAUAAAAAUAAAUCAUAUUUCUUUAAAAACUUAGUAUUUUCUACAUAAUUCUUACUAUAUUGUUUAUGAAUACAUGAGAGAUAUCAUCACGAUUGCACAAUCGACUUCGUCUACCAGGCUCUUCAGAACACUCCCGACGAACAAUUUCCAAUGCCAUUUCUUGUAUCAAAUCAUGCAUCUCAACCGUGUUAUUUGAAAUAUCAAUAGUUAAAAGUGAUUUCUGAACAAGAGCAUUUAUCCCAAUAUGACCACAUAGGCCACAGCAGUCUAGUAUUUCAAUUACACGCUCCUUGAACAUCCCCUUGUGAAAAAAUGCAACAUCAAGAAAUAUAUCCUUAUUCAUCUCAUCCAAUCCAUCGUAACUUAUUUUGAGCAAAUCAAUAAUUUCUGACUUAGGAAUUUUCUGCAGCUUAUCCAAUUCACUUUUCCAUUCAUAUUGAUCUCUCUUAUACACUAAGCAUCCCAAAAGUUUAAGAGCUAGUGGAAGUCCUCUGGCAUAAUUUACAAAACCUUUUGACAAUUCCAAAUAACCUUCCUCAGGCUCAUUCUUUUUAAAGGCAUUCCGACUAAAGAGCUCAAGAGCAUCAUCAUCACCUAAUCCCUCUACCUUAUAUGAUACCUGCACAUCAUGCUUUAACAGCAACCGUUCAUCUCUGGUUGUAAUAAUGAUUAAACUCCCCUUACCAAACCAAUCCUUUUCACCAGCCAAAUUUUCAAGUUGGCUUGAUUCACUCACAUCAUCAAGAAUGAGAAGAACCUUUUUAUUACACAAGCAAUUCUUAAUGACAGAGAUUCCCCACUGUUCAUCCCAAACUUGAGUAAUUUGAUCCUUCAAGAUUGGGGAAAGAAGUUGUCUUUGUAGAUCAACAAGAUUACCACGUUGAAAAACCUCUCUAACAUUAGCAAGAAAGCUGCUAACUUCAAAAUGGGUAGAAAUGCUAUCAUAAACUAGCUGAGCAAUGGUUGUUUUGCCAAUUCCGCCCAUCCCCCAUAUCCCUAUAAAGCGAACAUCAUCCGUGGGAUGAGCUAAAAGAAAAUCUACUUGCUCACGUAUAAACUUCAUUCCCACUAACUCUGUGGAAUCUAAUAAUUUGAAUCUGUGAUGCGCUUUCUCCCACACCCAUUCAACAAUAUAUUCAAUAAGCUUUCUUUCACACCUACAAAGAGGAAAAGUAAAAAGCAUACAUAAAGAAGAUAUGAUGGCUUGCGAUCAAAUGGCUUACGAAAAAACUUACUCAUUCUUUGAAUCUAUUCCAGAUAAAUUGGCUACUUCUGUUAAAGCAUCUCUCCAGCUCUUCACCUUAUCGAUGUCAUCCCUAAACCUUUUCUCAUGCUCAGCGAAGGCGUCCGCAAAAGUGCCGCUUUGUUUUCUCACAUGGGAGGGAUCCACAUUAUAAAACACUGGGAGAAUUGUGCCCUUGGAUUUCAUGCAUUGGAGAAUCUCUGUAAGUUCAUCCAAGCACCAGGUAGAAGAAGCAUAUUUUGGGGAGAGAACAACGAUUGCAAGCAUCGAUUCUUGGAUUGCGUUGAAGAGCCCUGACGAAAUAGCUGUCCCUCUUUCAAGCUUUGGAUCAUCCUUGAAUGUUUUAAUGCCCCUGAGCUGCAAUUCGUGGUAUAAAUGGGAUACAAAGCUAUUUCGAGUGUCCUCACCCCUGAAACUCAAAAACACAUCGUGGUUCGGUUGAGGAGGAGACUGAUCAGGUGAAGGAAAGGCAGAGUCUCUUUGGGUGCUCAAUGCCAUUUGGCAAUCUGCUGCUGCUGUAAACACCCAAUGAAAAUAAGCCUUUUGUUAACUAAAUAGAAAGAUGAUGAGAAACGGCAAAAAAGAAAAGGAUUAUAAUUUAAACCAGAGGAGAAAUAAGGACGAUGAGGAAACAAGUUUCAGACGCAAAGAAGGAAACAACAAGAGAGAAACAGAGAGAACUGGGAAACUAAUAUAUGUUUUGUAUUUCAACAGAGAGAAACAGAGGAAUUCAACAUAUAAACAUUAGAAGGAACAAAAAUACAUUUAAAACAAAAAUAUAAUGCAGAAAUUAAUGUUUUACUUGAACAAAACAGAAAUGUGGACGAAGCAAGCCAACAAGUUUAGCUUAGUGUUACCUCAACACCGAAAAAAUUACAGAGCCAGAGAAUUUGUAAGACCAGCAAGCCAACCAGAACCUCACAAAAUAUACAACUUCUCAAGAUCAGCCAAGAAACCGACAAGAAGAAACAAAGCUAGCAGCCUCAGAAAAGAGAGAGACUUGGAAACCGUGUAGUGGUGAGCACGCGGUUUCUCUUUUCACCAAUGAGAGUCAUUUCUUUUUCUUUUUUCUUUUUUAUGAAAGAGGGAGGAAGAACCCCAUAAAAGAAAGCGACAUGAUUCUUUUGCUUUUCAAUGAGUGCUUUCUUUUGAUUGGAUGGUUGCUUUCUUGGUAAAACUGUUGUGAGAUUUAAUUCAAGGAAAGAAUAGAAACUAUUACAUUUGCUGCUGCAUACUUGGACUUUGAUCCAAAUCUGCCUUUUAAACGAAGAAUAGAAACUUCUUUGUUCUAAUUACAUUUAAGCAAUCACACUUAUAAACCAACACUCCCUUCUAAGUGUUGUGCUGAAAUGACUCCUAGAGCUUUCCUCAGAUAUUCAAAUCGAUCUCUUGCCAAAGGCUUGGUGAAAAUGUCAGCAAGUUGCUCUUCAGUUUUGCAAUAUAGUAGAUCAAUCUCACCAUCUUGAAGUGCAUCUCGAAUGAAAUGAAACCUUCGAUUGAUAUGUCUGGUUUUGUGAUGAUGAAUUGGAUUCUUCGAUAUAGCAAUAGCUGAAGUAUUAUCACAUAGCAAUUUAGUUGCUUCUACUUGCUCUUCCCCAAAGUCUGAUAAUACAAACUCAGCCAAAUAGCUUGUGUAGUAGCUUCUGCUGCACUCAUAUACUCAGCCUCUGCAGUUGAAAGAGCAACACUGCUUUACUUGAUUGAAGCCCAAGAAAACACACCUGAUCCCAAAUUAAAUGCAUAGCCAGAUGUGCUUCUCAUGUCAUCCUCACUUCCACUCCAAUCACUAUCACAGUAACCUAUUAGCACUGCCCCUUUUCCCUUGUCAUACCAAUUCCAUAAUUUAUAGUACCUUGAAUGUAUCUGAGCACCUUCUUUGCUGUUCCCAUGUGCUUCUUGGUUGGAUUAUGCAUGAAUCUAGCCAAGAGGCUUGCUACAAACAUGAAAUCUGGUCUGGUUGCAGUCAGGUAGAGCAAACUCCCCACCAUUUGCCUAUACAAAGUUUCAUUUGCUAGAUCACUUCCAUCCAUUUUUGACAAUUUUUCAUUCACAGCCAGUGGUGUUGCAACAGGCUUGCAAUCCUUGAGUCCAAACUUGUCAAGCAAAGUCUUUACAUACUUCUUUUGGUGUAAGAAGAUGCAGGUAUCAGUUUGUAGAACUCCAAGGUCAAGGAAGUGAUGAAGCAAUCCUAGGUCAUUCAUCUCAUAUUGCCUCAUCAUCUCAUUCUUGAAUUCAGCCAUAAUUUCUUUUGAGCUCCCUGUGUAGAUAAUAUCAUCUACAUAUAGUGACACAAUGAGAAUACCACUUGUAGACAUCUUAGUGUACAAUGUAGCUUCACUUGGACUCCUAUAAAAACCAGUUUUAGUAAAGUUGGUGUUUAUCUCUUCAUACCAAACUCUUGGAGCUUGUUUCAAACCAUGUAAGGCCUUAUCUUCACUUCCUUGUAUCACAAAACCAGAUGGUUGAUCCACAUACACUUCUUCUUUCAGCACUCCAUUAAGAAAUGCUGACUUUACAUCCAACUGAAAUAGCUUCCAAUUUCUCUGUGCAGCUAAAGCCACCAAGGUUCUCACAGUAUCAAGUCUUGCCACUGGUGCAAAGGUCUCAUUGAAGUCUAUUCCAGGCUUCUGAGAAUAACCCUUUGCCACCAGCCGUGCCUUGUUCUUCUGCACAGAUCCAUCCAAGUUCAGUUUUGUCUUAUAGACCCAUUUAACACCAAUAAUUGGUUUGUCAGAUGGUCUAUUCACAAGUUCCCAAGUGUUAUUUUUGUUUAUCAUCAGAAUUUCAUCUUCCAUAGCUUUCUUCUAGGAAUCAUCCUUUGCUGCUUCUUCAAAACUCUCUGGUUCUAUGAUGCACAUAUUGCAUUUCUCAUAGAUUUUUGCAAUGCUUUUGUACUUGCGAGGUGUGUGAUCAAAAUCUUGGGAGCUUGGCAUUCUUUCUUGAUCACUAGAUUCAGUACUAGUGCCAAAUAUUUCACCUUCUUCACCUUGUACUUCAGGAUUACUGCUGUUUUCUUCUUGUCCUUGGUUACUUGCAGUUAUUUCAGCAAUUGGAACCUUCACACUUCUUUCUUUCUGUGUUUUCCAUUCCCAACAUACAUCUUCAUUGAACACAACAUCUCUAGACACAAUUAUCUUUCCAGAUUCAGGACUAUAAAGUCUAUACCCCUUUUCACAGCUUCCAUAGCCUAAGAAAAUACCUCUUGCUUAUCAAAUCUAGCUUCUGCCUUUGUUGACUCGGAAUAUGAGCAUAGCACAAUGAACCAAACUCUUUCAGAUGCUUAAAUCCAGGCUUUCUUCCACUAUAAGCUUCAAAUGGUGUUCUCUUAUUCAAAGCUUUGGUUAGACACCUAUUCAAAAUAUAAACUGAUGUAUUAACUGCUUCAGCCCAAAAAUCAAGAGGGAUCUUCUUCUCUAGUAACAAACACUUUGCCAUUUCCACAAUAGUUCUGUUCUUUCUCUCUGCUACACCAUUUUGCUGUGGUGUAUAUGGAGUUGUUAGCUGCCUUUCUAUGCCUAUAUCUGCACAGAACCUAUCAAAUUCUAUUGAGGUGUAUUCUCCUCCUCGAUCACUUCUAAGCUUCUUUAAUUUAUAGCCACUCUGCAAUUCCACAAUAGCUUUGAAUCUCUUGAAUACACUCAGUGUCUCAGACUUUUGUCUUAAGAAAUAAACCCAAUACAUUCUUGUGUUAUCAUCUAUGAAAGUGAGAAAGUAUCGAUUUCCAGCUUUUGUAGUUGUUUGCAUUGGACCACAGAUAUCACUGUGUACAAGCUCUAGAGGAGUUGAUGCUCUAGUAGUAGCUUCCUUUGGAAAUGACUCUCUGCACUGUUUGCCUAGAAUACAACCCUCACAUACUUCUGUAAUAGCUGUAAUUUCUGGCAAUCCCACAACCAUUUCUUGCCCUUGUAGUAAUUUCAGACUACUCAUAUUUAGAUGCCCCAGUCUUCUAUGCCAUAUUGCAGUAGAGUGACAAACACUUGACUUGUAGGCAAGAUGUAUUUCAGCCUGCAAUUUCAUUGGAAAACUUCGAUUUCCUCUCAUUUGUAUCCUUGCAAUCAAAUUAGACUAAAUGAUUAGAAUAAUCAGUUUCUAUCGAAUUCUAUAUGGCCUAUCAUGAAUGCAUAGUUUUUGUUUUUCAAGUUUACCCUCUUUGAAUGUAAUUAUUUUUUCCCAAUAAGAAAAAGGGUAAUGUCAUCGCCUUCUUCCAUAAUUAAAAAACAAUUAUUUAAAAAUUGAAAAGAAAAAAAAAACUAAGUCUUUCUCCCUUCGUCUUCCUCUUCCGCGUCAAGCCCCCACCCCACCACCCCAAAACCCAUGUAGAAAAAAUAAAACAGAGACACCCAUCUCAUGCAGCCAAGGCUGCCAUGCCAUAUAAUGAAGAAAAAAACAAACCCAAAUCCUAAAUUUCAUAUCAUAAAAACAAACUGCACCAAAUAAAUCAACUGCUAUUGGGUGAGUGUGGCACGGCAAAAGGACUAUUUUUUUCAACCAAAUUCCAAAGAUUAUUCGGAAGAGAAAAAUUGGGUUCAAUUGUAAAAAUAUUUUCUGAUACAUUCCUUCGAUAUAUAUUGGAAUUUAUUUCAGUAGUAAUAGAAAUAAAAAUGGGGCCGCGCCGCGCCUCCACCAAGAAUGGGGUGGGUUUGGGCUGAGACAGUUGGAGAAGGGAAGAGGCUGAGACAAGUUGGAUCAGAGAAGAAGGCCUGGGUUUGUUGGUGGGGUUAGUUGGGUGUGGGUUGCGGUGGGUGUGUGGCUAGGGUAUGGUCGAGUGGGGUGGCUUGGUGGGUGUGGGUACUGGCGGACUCAAGAAUUGUUUAACAGAAGUGUAAUUUUGAUAGGCUAAAAACUUUAUAAUAAAAAAAAAUAUUGACAACUAAAUAUCAUUAUAAUUGAAACAUUAAGGGUCUUAGGCUAUGAUUAUGACUAAUUGACUAUAGUAUAUCAAUUAAUAUAGAAAUCAAUAUCAAAUCAUCAAUUAAUCUAAUGAAAAUCAGUAUCAAAUUAUUAAUGAAAUAAUCAAAUCAUAAUUGAUUGUAACUCGACUUGUGAGUCGCACAACCUCUUCAUUCUGAGUUUGCUACUAAUCAUAUGAAUACAACAGAGAGAGCAAAUUAGAAAAAAAAAAUUAAGAAAAUAUUUAAAACAAAAACAAAUUUCGCCUUUGCUCAAGAAGAAGAAAAAAAAAAAAAAAGCAUCAAACUUACUUUGGAGUUGUGCAAUUGGUGUUUGUUCCCUAACAAAAACGGUUGCUCAAAAUUGGUGUUAAUCCUUUAUCCUCCCAAUCCCACAUAAAUAAGGAGUUGUGCAAUGUAAGAGUUUUCUUUUCCUUUUUUUUUAAAAAAAUUUAAAAAUCCUUGUUUAAAAAGAAGAACAACAAAAGCUUGUUAAAGCCUCUUUCUGAAUAGCCUUUUAUCAUGUUUUAAGUAGCCCAUAUCAGAGUUUGUUAAAGCCUACGUUCAGUGCAAGUCCAGUUUCCUGAUUUUUAUUUAUUUAUUUAUUUUUAACUCUGGUCUAAAAUGACAUCGUUUUGGCUAGGAUUUUUAUUUUAUUUUAUUUUAUUUUAUUUAUAUAAAAAAAAACCUUAGUUUUGGUUGAUGUAAUUCAUCGAACAGGUUGAGUGCACCACCCAACCUCACCAAAGAGGCAAGAUGUAGCGCCUGCAGAGGCUUUUCGGGCGAGGGGAGGUGCAGCUGCACCUCCUUGCGCCUUAAUAGAUCCGACACUAGGUGUGGGGUAGGGGGGUGGGAAGAGGGCCGUUGAUGAAUAAAGUGGGAGGAACUUAACGGGGAAGGAGGAAGACAGAGAGACUUAAUUUACUAUGUGUAAUCAAUUAAUUAAAUAUAUUUUUAUUUUAUUAAUACAUUUAAUAAGGGUAAACUUUAAAAACAAAAGUUAGAUUGUCCCGAGGGCGGGUCUCCGUCGGGUAUGGGGAGGGGAUGGUAUUGGCGUCCCCAUCCCCAAACCCGACCUGAACAUAUAUAUGUUUAUAUUUAAAUAAAUAAAUACAUAAUUAUAAUGUUUAUGUUUAACCCUAAGUUAACAUCCCUCUCCUAAUUCUUCAUAAUCUUCUCUGGAAUUUUCAUAUUGAUGUGAUUUUGAAUAGUUGAGUUGAGCUUUAUAGUUAAUUUGGAUGUGUUGAAUGAUAAUUUAAUAUGAAACUUAAUGUUAAAAUGUAUGAUAAAUAUUUUUUAUGCAAAAAAAAUUGGGGAUUCGGGGUGGGUAUGAGAGAUAGUCCCCCAACGGGGAUGGGGGCAGGGAUUUUCCGAAACCUAUUAACGAGGAUGGGUUCGAGGAUGGGGGCAGGGAUGGAGAGUGGGAACGGAGAUGGUAUUGUCAUACCUGGCCCCUACCCAACCCGUUGCCAUCCCUAGUCUAAACUGCAGGGCAUAAGGAUUUCUUAUACACACAAUUAUGAUGCCGUGGGUAUGGGGGAUAGUCCCCCAACGGGGACGGGGAUUUCCCGAAACCUAUUUACGAGGAUGGGUUCGGGGAUGGGAGCUGGGAUGGAGAGCGGGAACGGAGAUGGUAUUGUCAUACUUGGCCCCUACCCAACCCGUUGCCAUCCCUAGUCUAAACUACAGAGAAUGAGGAUUUCUUAUACACACAAUUAUGAUGCCGUGGGUAUUUGAACCUAAGACCUCUGGUCUGCAAGUCAAUGC
Molecule: long non-coding RNA, 36201 nt
Filed under: Prunus persica (peach)
Lineage: Eukaryota; Viridiplantae; Streptophyta; Magnoliopsida; Rosales; Rosaceae
Description: long non-coding RNA (PPER_LNC007675)
Source: RNAcentral